UCCUCAAUAGCUCAAUGGUAGAGCAUUCGGCUGUUAACCGACGUACAUAGGUUCGAUUCCUAUUUGAGGAG
Molecule: transfer RNA, 71 nt
Filed under: Prototheca zopfii
Lineage: Eukaryota; Viridiplantae; Chlorophyta; Trebouxiophyceae; Chlorellales; Chlorellaceae
Also listed under: 3 other names
Description: tRNA-Asn
Rfam family: tRNA
About the family: Transfer RNA (tRNA) molecules are approximately 80 nucleotides in length. Their secondary structure includes four short double-helical elements and three loops (D, anti-codon, and T loops). Further hydrogen bonds mediate the characteristic L-shaped molecular structure. tRNAs have two regions of fundamental functional importance: the anti-codon, which is responsible for specific mRNA codon recognition, and the 3' end, to which the tRNAs corresponding amino acid is attached (by aminoacyl-tRNA synthetases). tRNAs cope with the degeneracy of the genetic code in two manners: having more than one tRNA (with a specific anti-codon) for a particular amino acid; and 'wobble' base-pairing, i.e. permitting non-standard base-pairing at the 3rd anti-codon position.
Source: RNAcentral